RNAcentral lists this ribosomal RNA (1286 nucleotides) under metagenome. Its description in RNAcentral is "bacterial SSU rRNA". It matches the Rfam family "Bacterial small subunit ribosomal RNA", at positions 242 to 1520 of the family's 1533-position model. The record is from RNAcentral.
UAGCUAGUUGGUGAGGUAAAGGCUUACCAAGGCGAUGAUCUGUAGCGGGUCUGAGAGGAUGAUCCGCCACACUGGAACUGAGACACGGUCCAGACUCCUACGGGAGGCAGCAGUGGGGAAUUUUGGACAAUGGGGGCAACCCUGAUCCAGCCAUGCCGCGUGAGUGAAGAAGGCCUUCGGGUUGUAAAGCUCUUUCGGCCGGGAAGAAAUCGCAUGGGCCAAUACCCUGUGUGGAUGACGGUACCGGAAUAAGAAGCACCGGCUAACUACGUGCCAGCAGCCGCGGUAAUACGUAGGGUGCGAGCGUUAAUCGGAAUUACUGGGCGUAAAGCGUGCGCAGGCGGUUUUGUAAGACAGGCGUGAAAUCCCCGGGCUUAACCUGGGAACUGCGUUUGUGACUGCAAGGCUAGAGUACGGCAGAGGGGGGUGGAAUUCCACGUGUAGCAGUGAAAUGCGUAGAGAUGUGGAGGAACACCAAUGGCGAAGGCAGCCCCCUGGGUCGAUACUGACGCUCAUGCACGAAAGCGUGGGUAGCAAACAGGAUUAGAUACCCUGGUAGUCCACGCCCUAAACUAUGUCAACUAGGUGUUGGGUGGGUAAAACCAUUUAGUACCGUAGCUAACGCGUGAAGUUGACCGCCUGGGGAGUACGGCCGCAAGGUUAAAACUCAAAGGAAUUGACGGGGACCCGCACAAGCGGUGGAUGAUGUGGAUUAAUUCGAUGCAACGCGAAAAACCUUACCUACCCUUGACAUGCCAGGAACUUGCCAGAGAUGGCUUGGUGCCCGAAAGGGAGCCUGGACACAGGUGCUGCAUGGCUGUCGUCAGCUCGUGUCGUGAGAUGUUGGGUUAAGUCCCGCAACGAGCGCAACCCUUGUCGUUAAUUGCCAUCAUUUAGUUGGGCACUUUAACGAGACUGCCGGUGACAAACCGGAGGAAGGUGGGGAUGACGUCAAGUCCUCAUGGCCCUUAUGGGUAGGGCUUCACACGUCAUACAAUGGUCGGUACAAGGGGUUGCCAAGCCGCGAGGCGGAGCCAAUCCCAGAAAGCCGAUCGUAGUCCGGAUUGCAGGCUGCAACUCGCCUGCAUGAAGUCGGAAUCGCUAGUAAUCGUGGAUCAGCAUGUCACGGUGAAUACGUUCCCGGGUCUUGUACACACCGCCCGUCACACCAUGGGAGCGGGUUCCGCCAGAAGUAGGUAGCCUAACCGCAAGGGAGGCGCUUACCACGGCGGGGUUCGUGACUGGGGUGAAGUCGUAACAAGGUAGCCGUAGGGAACCUGCGGCUG